UCCCUGGUGGGCUAGUGGUUAGCUUGCAGUGCUCUCAUUGCCGGGCCUGGGUUUGAUUCCCGGGCAGGGAA
Molecule: non-coding RNA, 71 nt
Organism: Pangasius djambal
Lineage: Eukaryota; Metazoa; Chordata; Actinopteri; Siluriformes; Pangasiidae
Source: the annotation of a GenBank genome assembly